Molecule: ribosomal RNA, 433 nt
Filed under: uncultured bacterium
Lineage: Bacteria
Description: partial 16S ribosomal RNA
Rfam family: Bacterial small subunit ribosomal RNA
Source: RNAcentral
AACGAACGCUGGCGGCAUGCCUAACACAUGCAAGUCGAACGAGACCUUCGGGUCUAGUGGCGCACGGGUGCGUAACGCGUGGGAACCUGCCUUUAGGUUCGGAAUAACUCAGAGAAAUUUGAGCUAAUACCGGAUGAUGUCUUCGGACCAAAGAUUUAUCGCCUUUAGAUGGGCCCGCGUUGGAUUAGCUAGUUGGUGGGGUAAAGGCCUACCAAGGCGACGAUCCAUAGCUGGUCUGAGAGGAUGAUCAGCCACACUGGGACUGAGACACGGCCCAGACUCCUACGGGAGGCAGCAGUGGGGAAUAUUGGACAAUGGGCGAAAGCCUGAUCCAGCAAUGCCGCGUGAGUGAUGAAGGCCUUAGGUUUGUAAAGCUCUUUUACCCGAGAUGAUAAUGACAGUAUCGGGAGAAUAAGCUCCGGCUAACUCCGUG